RNAcentral lists this ribosomal RNA (5706 nucleotides) under Triticum aestivum (bread wheat). Its description in RNAcentral is "partial small subunit ribosomal RNA". Lineage: Eukaryota; Viridiplantae; Streptophyta; Magnoliopsida; Poales; Poaceae. The record is from RNAcentral.
CUUUCCCCCUCUGGUCGAGGGUUUCCUCUGCCCUGUUACGUUCCCCACUCCAAUCCAAUGGCGACGACCAGCAACAAGAAAAUGGCGUCGCCGUCGCCUAUGACGGACAUGCCCGACCAGCUCCUCGCCGAGAUCUUCCUCCGGCUGCCCACCCCACAAGACCUCGCCCGCGCCUCCGCCGUUUGCCUCACCUUCCGCCGAAUCUCCACCGACAGGUCCUUCCUCCGCUGCUUCCGCUGCCUCCACGCACCACCACUUCUCGGAUUCCUCGACCGCGACGGCUUCCACCCAGCCCUAACCUCCACCCCCGCCGUUCGCGCGGCCGCCGUCGCCGCCGAUUUCACCUUAUCCUUCCUCCCCUACCACCGCCGCUGGACCGUGCAGGACGUCCGCGACGGCCGCGUCCUCCUCUGCCGCAGCAUCGGAAAACAUGGGCAGCCCCCGGUCUUCAGAGAUCUCGCGGUGUGCGACCCCUUGCACCGGCGCUACGUCCUGCUCCCCCCGCUACCUCACGACCUGGCUGCUUUGCUUGGGCACCCUUUCCCCCCGGUAACCGAGGCCUGCUGCAAGCGCUUCCUCGUUCCCCUCGGUGAGGAGGAGGCAGCGGCUGGAGACACAACAUUCAUAGUCAUCUUGAUGGCAUAUUGCAAAACCAGUCUGGCUGCCUUUGUCUUCUCUUCCAGCAACGAUCAAUGGCAAGCUACUGCAUCCAAGGAUUUGAGUGAUUUGGCCCUUGACGAGGGCGACAUGGAGGAGAUGUCAAGGGUCCAGCCUUUUAUUCCCAUGCGCCAUUAUGCUUAUGGCUGUUUCUACUGGGACUGGGUGCAAUUCGGGAUGAAGAAGUUGCUCUUGCUUGACACCACGAACAUGGAGUUCUCCACUGCUGACCUCCCACCAGGAGAAUGGAGCAAGGAAGGUAUAGCCAUUGUGGAGGCAGGGGAAGGCAGGCUCGGGAUCUUUGGUUUCCAUGGUGGACUUGCAUCCAAUCUCAGCUAUACAGCUGCACGGACCAAAGGCGAGAGUCCCAGCCAGUGGCAGAUGGAGAAGACAAUCUCACUAGAUUCUGGCUACAAAUAUUGUAUCAGAGACGCAACACAGAGGUACUUGCUCUUGACAAGGAUAGAAGCAUCAUCUCCAAAUAAUCACCUUGUUGGAUAUUUCUCAAUGGAUAUCAAGACGUUGCAGCUUCAGAGGGUUUAUGAGAAACAGCACUAUAAGUAUCCGACAUACGCAUAUAUCAACUUCCCACCAUCAUUGUUGUCUUCAAGGAGAAUAUGAAGUGGUUUGACAGAGCCAUACCCAUACGUAAUCAUAUCAGCAUUCUUAAUUCAAAGCGACCAUGGUUUCAACAGCUUGGAGUUCUCACAUACGUGAUCACGUUGCCUACAAAACAACAAGAUCUACAUUGCCUUGCUUGGUGGUGGCCAUGUCAAUGUUUUGGUUAUUAGGUCUAACAUCAAUGUGGAAUUUCCCUGCCUAAGAAUGUGACUUUGAUAUUAGGAGUUCAAGUCAAUUUUUCUUCUUCAUUAUUUGUUAGAGUUGCUAAAACAGGUACAAUCUGACUAGUGGCAGAACGAUCACAACGGAACUGAUAACCAACAUAAGGACAAUAUAAGCAGCACCAGCAUGCAGUUGGAGGGACUCGGUUCUUUGUUGCUGCUGCUGCUGUACGGUGAAGGAUUUGAUGGAGCUGUAAUCAGAUCGCCCCAGCGCGGGCCCCACCGAAACCGUCCCUCUCGCCCAAUGCCCACGUUCCCCACUCCCCCGUCUUUCCCUCGCCCGCAUUACUUCUUCCCCCCUUCUCGCGCCGCUCUUCGUUUCUGCUCUCUCUCCCCUCUCCCUCGUCUGCGACAGUUGCUGGUGGUGGCGUGGUCCGGUUCGCGGUGGACGGCGUCUGAAUCUCUGGUGAGGAACGCAUUUCCCCACCCCCUUUGUCUACCUGUUUUGCUCCGCCGGAACACAUUCCCCACCCCCUCUCUUUUCCUGUUUCUCCGCCGGCAUGUCCUGCCGUUGAUUUUUGGUGCUCGGACCAUCCUAAUCCAGUCGAUUGUUGUUCCAAAUAGGGACACAAUGCCGAGGAAGCGCAAAGGAGAUGGUGAUGGAAUUGAUGAAGUUCCUUCAAAAAAGAUGAAGCGCCCUCCUCCGCGGAACAGAGCCUCACCCAGUUCGCUUCUUUUAGCAUGCAAAGACAUGAAUGAUGACAGGAAGGUUGCCAUUGAUGAGAUGGACUUCACAAGCCUUCGCAAUAUCCAGUGUGACCAUCUCUUCAACAAUCUCAGUGUGUGGCUUGCUGUUCUUUAUGAUCCCGAUUCCCGUGAGGUUGUUGUACCAGGGCGGGGCAGACUUCCUGGUUCCGUAAAUGCUGAUGAUACUUUCAAGCAUAUGUGGCUUUUGCUUGCUGGGAAUACAAUCAUUGCCCCGACCACCUCCAACAAAGUCAGCCCUAGAUGUUUCAUUGUUUUCAACUUGCGGCGCAACAUCAAUGGUAUUAAAAAUCUCAAUUGGUCCAAAUUUAUUGCUGAUAAAUUAGACAAGGCGCUGCUGAAACGCAAGCCUACCAGGGGUUGCCUUCUCUUCUACAAUCUACUUUACAUUCACGCGAUUGAUCUUUCUGGACUCGGCAUCGUAUUGCCUAAUGGUCCUUUUCCUAUCAAUGUAUGGACGAAGAAGCUGAUAACUCUUGUCCUCAACAAGGAUGUUCAAGCUGACAAAGUUUCUUUUGGGAAUCUACCGUUGAAGCCUGAGUUUGGCAUGAAUUUCUGUCUGUUUGGUGGUCUCAAAGGUCUUGAUAGGUUUAUGCGUGUUCAUGCCCCAAGCUGCAGUCAGGAGAAAUUUGCCAAAUCUACUCAAAUAGUUGCUCGAUUCACGUCCACUAUGGCUGGCAUAAUAGGCGAUCUUGUGCAAUCAUUCACCGCUUUGGAUGAUGAGGGCCAUUCAGAUGCCUCCUGUAAGCUAGACGCUAGAUUGAAUGUUCUUUCUUCCGCUGCUCGUAUGAUGGCAAGGACCGCACGCUCAUCGCAAGGCAGGCGGCCAGAAAGCACUGGAAAGAGCAUUGCUGAUGAUUCUGAGAGUGAUGAUGAGUACCAUGGAGGCAAUGACGCUGAUUCUGAUGCUGACUCCAAUGAUGAUGAUGAUGAUAUGGAUUAUCGAGUUGUUCAUCGUCGCAGCAAGGAUCCUUUCUUUGCUUCAGGCAGUGGUACCGUGGAUGUAGCUAUGGGCAGUGGGCCAGCUGACGAUGACACCACACAUCUGGAUGAUGCAACUGUAAAAGCUCAUGAGAGCACAACACCAAACAUUGAAGGCAUGCCUAUCCGCACUAUCGAUGAGAACCUUAAUGAGUCUCAGAUCAUGCUCACUGGCAUCUCUCACACAACAUUAGUCGGAUCAGGUGAUGUAGGGCUUAGCCAGCAAGAUCUGACAGACACUCAAGCUGAGGCGGCCACUGAAUCUUCUGUCAAGCGGUGUGGUUAUGAGCUUUUGAAAAAUUUGGCUUACCAGAGGUGCAAGAAACUGAGGCUACCAUCACCCCCGUCCAGCUUCACCAACUGUGCCUGUCCGUCCAACUUCACCAGUUGUGCCCCCAGCCCACCACAAAGGCCAUCUUCACCAAAUGCACCAUCAGCAGCUGAAAUUCAUCUAGCUGUGAAGAAAUUUUUGGUCCAGGAGCUUGGUAUACGUGUGGCUGAAAAGGGAACCGGUGUCGUCGUCCCACUAUCUACCAUGCGGAAGGAGGCUCCAUGCAUGGCACCUGGCAAACAAGCUGCUGCUGCUAAGGAUUCAGUGAUUGCACCAGUAAAAAUUGCACCUAUGAAACAAGUUGCUGCUGCUAAGGCUUCGCCAAGUGUAUCAGGAAAAAGUCGUCCAAAAGAGAAAACCGCGGUGAGAAAGGUGCAAUUCGCCACCAGAUCUUCUCCACGACUAAGGGCAGCAUUGUCGCAGACAACAUCAUCGCAGACAAUAGAAGUUAUCCAUCUUGAUGAAUCGCCCACGGCGACGUCUCCGUAUGCGGUUGAAGUACUUGAUGCGACGGGUGGUUCUUUAGCUUCUGAUAAAGCAGAAGCAGCUAGCUUGGGCAAAUUUGAUGUUGUUGCGGUGACAUCCGCUGCUGUUCGUGUCAUUGAAGAAGUCGUGGGAGGUACCCGAGUCAAUUUGCCUAUUGAUACGACAAUAGCUGAAGGUCAAGAGCAUGAUGCCCAGAAUCCUGUGGUAACCAACAAUGUCAAUGAAGAGAAAGCAUCCCCAGUAGUUGACCCUGUGUUGGAGUCGAGCACCCCUGGAGCUGGAGAAGGCGCCGAUGAGUAUAUAGCCUAUGGUUAUUUUGUGCCACCCAACUGCUCUCUUGGGCUUGAUGCCAUCUUUGGUGCGAGUCCACACGUGCCACCAUCGACUGAAGCAUCUCCAACGGUUCAAGCUGCACCAGCGUUGGCUCCUACGGGUCAAGCUGCACCUCCAUUACCAGAUGCUUCAGCGGCUAUGGCAUCGGCUCAAGUACCACCUGCAGCACCAGAAGCAUCGAUGGCGGCUCCAUCGGCUCAAGUACCACCUGCAGCACCAAAAGCAUCGGAGGCGGCUCCAUCGGCUCAAGUACCACCUGCAGCACCAGAAGCAUCGGAGGCGGCUCUAUCGGCUCAAGUACCACCUGCAGCACCAGAAGCAUCGGAGGCGGCUCCAUCGGCUCAAGUACCACCUGUAGCACUAGCUACUGGCCCUAUCGCAGUUCUCGGGCUUCCAUCUCCUAUUGUCGCCGAACCCAAGGGCAAGAAAGGAGGGAAACUAUCAAAGCACAACCGAUUGCUUGGGCUCCGCCACACAACUCCGAUGAUAACCCCUCCUCCUGGUGAUAACUCCAACCUCCCCUCCAUGGUAACUUUGUCAGCUUUGAAAGCAGUUGUUAUCACACCAACCAUGGGCCUGAUUGAUGAUGAUGAGGUUCUCAUGUGGUGGGAAGAGUUUGAACAUGACAAUCCAACAUUAAAAGGGAAACUGAAUGUUCAAAUAGACCACCCUCAAAGUCUAACAUUCGUUACACCAGAGUUACCACCUCGCACAGGGCAUUUAGCAUGCAGUGCAACCCCUAAAUCCUUUAUUCGAAAAGUUAGGGUCACCCACCCGUCCAAAUACCUGCUCCCGCCUUUUGCCACCCUCACAUCGACCGAGGAGGAAGAUGUUAGGGUCAUCGACAUUGAUGGUAGGUGGGUCACCCUAGGUGAGCUUGCCAAUUGUGUGAAGGGAAUUGGGCGACUAUCAACCGGCAUUGCUGAGUUACAUGUUCGCAUUCUUCAGCGUAAGGAAACCCCAAACAGGAUCAUCUUCCCUUGGGUGUUGUCUGUGUAUCUGUUGAUAGGAGACUUCACAUCCAAGUGUCUAUUGAAGUAUUUCCGACAGGAUCAGUUUUACAUCCUUAGUCACCAGGAUCAGCAGCUAUUCCCUGCUUUGCAAAAGUUGGGUCCCGGUCCAAAUGACGGGCAUUGGUAUAUGUUGUCACUAAAUCUCAGGGCAAAGCGGUUCGAAGUUCUAGAUUCAUUACGUGAACAAGAUAGUCCUUCUCUUCUCGAGCAUGCGACAAGAUACAUGGACAAUAUAAAGAAGGGUUGGUUGAUAAAUUACAAGGACUCGCAUAAGAAAAUUCAGAAUUAUGAACUUGUGUACAUUGAUGUGUUGAAACAAGAUAAUGGUUUAGUUGUGGAUUAUUCAUUCUCUUUUUAA